CCUACGGGAGGCAGCAGUGGGGAAUAUUGGGCAAUGGGCGAAAGCCUGACCCAGCAAAGCCGCGUGAAGGAAGAAGGCUUUCGGGUUGUAAACUUCUUUUGACAGGGAAGAGCAGAAGACGGUACCUGUCUAAUCACCCCCGGCUAACUACGUGCGAGAAGCCGCGGUAAUACGUAGGGGGCAAGGGUUGUCCGGCAUUACUGGGUGUAAAGGGCGUGUAGCCGGGCUUAAAAGUCAGAUGUGAAAUCCGCGGUCUCAACCCCCGAACUGCAUUUGAAACUGUUGGUCUUGAGUAUCGGAGAGGCAGGCGGAAUUCCUAGUGUAGCGGUGAAAUGCGUAGAUAUUAGGAGGAACACCAGUGGCGAAGGCGGCCUGCUGGACGACAACUGACGGUGAGGCGCGAAAGCGUGGGGAGCAAACAGGAUUAGAUACCCUAGUAGUC
This 442-nucleotide ribosomal RNA is filed under the name uncultured bacterium. RNAcentral describes it as "partial 16S ribosomal RNA". It matches the Rfam family "Bacterial small subunit ribosomal RNA", at positions 338 to 795 of the family's 1533-position model. The record is from RNAcentral.